This 331-nucleotide ribosomal RNA is filed under the name uncultured eukaryote. RNAcentral describes it as "partial 18S ribosomal RNA". It matches the Rfam family "Eukaryotic small subunit ribosomal RNA", at positions 1470 to 1796 of the family's 1831-position model. The record is from RNAcentral.
CCCUUAGAUGUUCUGGGCCGCACGCGCGCUACACUGUUCGACGCAGCGAGUCUUAACCUUGACCGAAAGGUUUGGGUAAUCUUCAGCAAAGUCGAACGUGAUGGGGAUCGAUCAUUGCAAUUAUUGAUCGUGAACGAGGAAUUCCUAGUAAGUGCAAGUCAUCAGCUUGCGCUGAUUACGUCCCUGCCCUUUGUACACACCGCCCGUCGCUACUACCGAUUGAAUGGUUUAGUGAGAUCUCUGGAUUGAUGCUGGCUAGGGGGCGACCCUUGGCCAGACUGUUGAGAAACUGCUCAAACUUGAUCAUUUAGAGGAAGUAAAAGUCGUAACA